RNAcentral lists this ribosomal RNA (253 nucleotides) under uncultured bacterium. RNAcentral describes it as "partial 16S ribosomal RNA". It matches the Rfam family "Bacterial small subunit ribosomal RNA", at positions 524 to 776 of the family's 1533-position model. The record is from RNAcentral.
UACAGAGGGUGCAAGCGUUAAUCGGAAUUACUGGGCGUAAAGCGUGCGUAGACGGUUAUUUAAGUCGGGUGUGAAAUCCCCGGGCUCAACCUGGGAAUUGCAUUCGAUACUGGAUAGCUAGAGUUCGGCAGAGGGAAGUGGAAUUUCCGGUGUAGCGGUGAAAUGCGCAGAUAUCGGAAGGAACAUCAGUGGCGAAAGCGACUUCCUGGACCAGAACUGACGUUCAGGCACGAAAGCGUGGGGAGCAAACAGG